RNAcentral lists this ribosomal RNA (465 nucleotides) under uncultured bacterium. RNAcentral describes it as "partial 16S ribosomal RNA". It matches the Rfam family "Bacterial small subunit ribosomal RNA", at positions 338 to 795 of the family's 1533-position model. The record is from RNAcentral.
CCUACGGGUGGCAGCAGUAGGGAAUUUUCGGCAAUGGGCGAAAGCCUGACCGAGCAACGCCGCGUGAACGAAGAAGGUCUUCGGAUUGUAAAGUUCUGUUAUAGAGGAAGAAUGGUGUACGUAGGAAAUGGCGUACAAAUGACGGUACUCUGUGAGGAAGCCACGGCUAACUACGUGCCAGCAGCCGCGGUAAUACGGAGGAUUCGAGCGUUAUCCGGAUUUAUUGGGUUUAAAGGGUGCGUAGGCUGUCGGAUAAGUUAGAGGUCAAAUGUCGGGGCUUAACCCCGUGCCUGCCUCUGAUACUGUUCGACUAGAGAGCGGAUGCAGCAGGCGGAAUGAGUAGUGUAGCGGUGAAAUGCUUAGAUAUUACUCAGAACACCGAUUGCGCAGGCAGCUUGCUAAUCCGCAUCUGACGCUGAUGCACGAAAGCGUGGGUAGCGAACAGGAUUAGAUACCCCUGUAGUC